AAAAGACUUAGUCCUAACCUUGUUAUUGGUUACCGCUAGACAUACACAUGCAAGUAUCCGCACUCCAGUGAAAAUACCCCCAAACUUUCCCUUUGCCUUACGAAGAAAGGGGAGUAGGUAUCAGGCACACCCAAGCAGUAGCCUAAGACACCUUGCCCAAGCCACACCCCCACGGGUACUCAGCAGUGAUUAACAUUAAGCAAUAAGUGUAAACUUGACUUAGCCAUAGCAGUACACAGGGUUGGUAAAUCUUGUGCCAGCCACCGCGGUCAUACAAGAAACCCAAAUCAAUAACCAUCGGCGUAAAGAGUGACCAUAUGUUAUCUUUUUAACUAAGAUCAAAAUGUAACUAAGCCGUCACAAGCUUAAGAUCCACUCAAACCCAACCUAAACAUCUUAGACUCAAUGAUCAAUUUAAACCCACGAAAGCUAGGACACAAACUGGGAUUAGAUACCCCACUAUGCCUAGCCCUAAAUCCAGAUUACCCCCCCCCACCCAGGUAUCCGCCCGGAGAACUACGAGCACAAACGCUUUAAACUCUAAGGACUUGGCGGUGCCCCAAACCCCACCUAGAGGAGCCUGUUUCUAUAAACGAUAAUCCACGAUCCACCCAACCACCUCUUGCCAACACAGCCUACAUACCGCCGUCGCCAGCCCACCUCCAAUGAAAGAACAACAGUGCGCUCAAUAGCCUCCGCUAAUAAGACAGGUCAAGGUAUAGCUUAUGAGGUGGAAGAAAUGGGCUACAUUCUCUAUUUUAGAGCACUCACGAAAAAGGACAUGAAAGCAGUCCUUAGAAGGAGGAUUUAGCAGUAAAGUGGGACCAUCAUCACCCCAAGCCCACUUUAAGCUGGCUCUGGAGCACGUACAUACCGCCCGUCACCCUCUUCGAAAGCCACCAGCAUCCAUAAAUAAUAAGUCCACCCCACCCAAGGCCAAAGACGAGGUAAGUCGUAACAAGGUAAGUGUACCGGAAGGGGCACUUAAACCAC
Molecule: non-coding RNA, 993 nt
Filed under: Rhynchortyx cinctus (tawny-faced quail)
Lineage: Eukaryota; Metazoa; Chordata; Aves; Galliformes; Odontophoridae
Description: partial 12S ribosomal RNA
Rfam family: Bacterial small subunit ribosomal RNA
Source: RNAcentral